AAGACAUUAGUAAAAUGCAAAUUACACCACCUUGUCAAGGUGAAAUCGCAGGUUAAACUCCUGCAUGUCUUA
This 72-nucleotide transfer RNA is filed under the name Labeo rohita (rohu). It matches the Rfam family "tRNA". Rfam says of the family: Transfer RNA (tRNA) molecules are approximately 80 nucleotides in length. Their secondary structure includes four short double-helical elements and three loops (D, anti-codon, and T loops). Lineage: Eukaryota; Metazoa; Chordata; Actinopteri; Cypriniformes; Cyprinidae. The record is from Rfam by way of RNAcentral.